AGGGUGCCCUUCGUCUCCGCCAGCCCGGGGAAAUGGCUUCCUGUUGUCCACAGUGUGGGCUGCCUGAUGGCGGGGACACUGAGAAUCUUCCGGAGUAGUCCGAGGAAAUAUUCUUGCAAUGGACUGAAUAUGUCUCCCCAAAAUUCCUAUGUGGAAUCUGCACCUAACGCUGUUUGGAACCGGAGCCUUUGGGAGUGAAGACACAGCAAGAAGACAGCCCUCUACAAACCAGAAAGAGGGCCCUCACAGGAGCCUGAGCAUGCUGGCACCUCACUUCCGGCCUCCACUCUCUGAGAAAUAACUGUUGUCUACGCCAUCCGGUCUGCGGUCCUGUCAUAGCAGCCCAAACUAAGACAAUGCUUC
Molossus molossus (Pallas's mastiff bat) is the source of this 363-nucleotide long non-coding RNA. RefSeq lists it as uncharacterized. The record is from RefSeq and is a predicted model, not a curated record. The transcript is spliced from 3 exons. NCBI's taxonomy places the organism in Eukaryota, Metazoa, Chordata, Mammalia, Chiroptera, Molossidae.